AGUGAACGCUGGCGGUAGGCCUAACACAUGCAAGUCGAACGGCAGCACAGUAAGAGCUUGCUCUUACGGGUGCGAGUGGCGGACGGGUGAGGAAUACAUCGGAAUCUACUUUUUCGGGGGGGAUAACGUAGGGAAACUUACGCUAAUACCGCAUACGACCUACGGGUGAAAGCAGGGGAUCUUCGGACCUUGCGCGAUUGAAUGAGCCGAUGUCGGAUUAGCUAGUUGGCGGGGUAAAGGCCCACCAAGGCGACGAUCCGUAGCUGGUCUGAGAGGAUGAUCAGCCACACUGGAACUGAGACACGGUCCAGACUCCUACGGGAGGCAGCAGUGGGGAAUAUUGGACAAUGGGCGCAAGCCUGAUCCAGCCAUACCGCGUGGGUGAAGAAGGCCUUCGGGUUGUAAAGCCCUUUUGUUGGGAAAGAAAAGCAGCAGGUUAAUACCCCGCUGUUCUGACGGUACCCAAAGAAUAAGCACCGGCUAACUUCGUG
Molecule: ribosomal RNA, 491 nt
Filed under: uncultured bacterium
Lineage: Bacteria
Description: partial 16S ribosomal RNA
Rfam family: Bacterial small subunit ribosomal RNA
Source: RNAcentral